RNAcentral lists this ribosomal RNA (525 nucleotides) under Triticum aestivum (bread wheat). Its description in RNAcentral is "partial small subunit ribosomal RNA". Lineage: Eukaryota; Viridiplantae; Streptophyta; Magnoliopsida; Poales; Poaceae. The record is from RNAcentral.
AAAGGUAAGGGUGCCAUGGGUUUCCGUGAUCUCAGGCUUUUUAAUCAAGCUCUUUUGGCCAAGCAGGCAUGGCGGUUGUUGGUUUACCCGGAUUCGCUAUGUGCGAAGUUGAUAAAGGCAAAGUAUUACCCUCAGGAACAUAUUCUUGAUGCAGUGUUUACGCAUGCUAGUUCUGUGACUUGGCAAGGUAUUUCACGUGGUCUGGAACUUCUUAAGAGGGGGAUCAUUUGGAGGGUAUGUGAUGGAUCUAGUAUUAAUAUAUGGAGGGAUAAUUGGAUACCUAGGAUGCAUGGCCUAAAAAUCUCAGCUAGAAGGCAUAAUACCAGGUUGAUAUUGGUAUAUGAUUUAUUCAUGUGCGGCUGCAAGGGUUGGGAUGAAAAUUUGAUCAAGUAUCUAUUCUAUCCACAUGAUGCGGAGGAAAUUCUUAAGAUUCGUAUUCAGACCUUUAGGGAUGGGGAUUUUGUUGCGUGGCACCAUGAGAAGAAUGUAUAUUUUCUGCUAAAGUGCGUACAAUUUUGCGCUUAA